RNAcentral lists this ribosomal RNA (254 nucleotides) under uncultured bacterium. RNAcentral describes it as "partial 16S ribosomal RNA". It matches the Rfam family "Bacterial small subunit ribosomal RNA", at positions 524 to 776 of the family's 1533-position model. The record is from RNAcentral.
UACGGGGGGGGGCAAGCGUUGUUCGGAAUUACUGGGCGUAAAGGGCUCGUAGGCGGCCAACUAAGUCCGACGUGAAAUCCCCAGGCUUAACCUGGGAACUGCGUCGGAUACUGGAUGGCUUGAAUUCGGGAGAGGGAUGCAGAAUUCCAGGUGUAGCGGUGAAAUGCGUAGAUAUCGGGAGGAACACCAGUGGCGAAGGCGACUUCCUGGCCUGUUCUUGACGCUGAGGCGCGAAAGCUAGGGUAGCAAACGGG